This 932-nucleotide ribosomal RNA is filed under the name uncultured archaeon. RNAcentral's name for it is "bacterial SSU rRNA". It matches the Rfam family "Archaeal small subunit ribosomal RNA", at positions 15 to 922 of the family's 1478-position model. The record is from RNAcentral.
UGCCGGACCCCACUGCUAUCGGGAUGGGACUAAGACAUGCUAGUCGAGCGUCUCCAAGCUAUGGAAGAGACGCGGCACACAGCUCAGUAACACGUGGCUAACCUGCCCUUGGGACAAGGACAACUCCGGGAAACUGGGGCUAAUCCCUGAUAAGUGAGAACUCCUGGAAUGGAUUCUCGCUCAAAGGACGUUUAGACCAUGCUUCUAGGCGUCGCCCAAGGAGGGGGCCGCGACCGAUCAGGUUGUUGGUGAGGUAACGGCUCACCAAGCCUUUAACCGGUACGGGCCGUGAGAGCGGAAGCCCGGAGAUGGGCACUGAGACAAGGGCCCAGGCCCUACGGGGCGCAGCAGUCGCGAAAACUCCGCAAUACACGAAAGUGUGACGGGGCUAUCCCGAGUGCCAUCCGCUGAGGAUGGCUUUUCCCCAGUGUAUAAAGCUGGGGGAAUAAGGAGAGGGCAAGCCUGGUGUCAGCCGCCGCGGUAAUACCAGCUCUCCGAGUGGUGGGGAUGUUUAUUGGGCCUAAAGCAUUCGUAGCCUGCUUGGCAAGUCCUCCGUUAAAUCCAACGAUUCAAUCGUUGGGCUGCGGGGGAUACUGUCCAGCUAGGGGGCGGGAGAGGCCGACGGUAUCCCCGGGGUAGGGGUGAAAUCCUAUAAUCCCGGGAGGACCACCAGGGGCGAAGGCUGUCGGCUAGAACGCGCUCGACGGUGAGGGAUGAAAGCUGGGGGAGCGAACCGGAUUAGAUACCCGGGUAGUCCCAGCUGUAAACGAUGCAGGCUAGGUGUUGGCGCGGCUACGUGCCGCUCCAGUGCCGCAGGGAAGCCGUUAAGCCUGCCGCCUGGGAAGUACGGCCGCAAGGCUGAAACUUAAAGGAAUUGGCGGGGGAGCACCACAAGGUGUGAAGCUUGCGGUUUAAUUGGAUUCAACGCCGGA